AGCAGCCGCGGUAAUUCCAGCUCCAAUAGCGUAUAUUAAAGUUGUUGCAGUUAAAAGCUCGUAGUUGAAUUUCGAGAUCAAAUUGUUGGUCGUGCCUUGGUACGCACUGGCAUUAUUGGUUUCUCCCUUCUGACGAACCAUGAUGUCAUUAAUUUGGUGUCUUGGGGAAUCAGGACUGUUACUUUGAAAAAAUUAGAGUGUUUAAAGCAGGCUCACGCUUGAAUACAUUAGCAUGGAAUAAUGAAAUAGGACGUUUGAUUCUAUUUUGUUGGUUUCUAGGAUCGACGUAAUGAUUAAUAGGGAUAGUUGGGGGCAUUAGUAUUCAAUUGUCAGAGGUGAAAUUCUUGGAUUUAUUGAAGACUAACUACUGCGAAAGCAUUUGCCAAGGAUGUUUUCAUUAAUCAAGAACGAAAGUUAGGGGAUCGAAGACGAUCAGAUACCGUCGUAGUCUUAACCAUAAACUAUGCCGACUAGGGAUCGGAUGAUGUUAAUUUUUUAAUGACUCAUUCGGCGCCUUACGGGAAACCAAAGUGUUU
This 536-nucleotide ribosomal RNA is filed under the name uncultured Glomeromycotina. RNAcentral describes it as "SSU rRNA". It matches the Rfam family "Eukaryotic small subunit ribosomal RNA", at positions 569 to 1108 of the family's 1831-position model. Lineage: Eukaryota; Fungi; Glomeromycota. The record is from RNAcentral.